RNAcentral lists this ribosomal RNA (407 nucleotides) under uncultured bacterium. Its description in RNAcentral is "partial 16S ribosomal RNA". It matches the Rfam family "Bacterial small subunit ribosomal RNA", at positions 30 to 526 of the family's 1533-position model. The record is from RNAcentral.
AUUGAACGCUGGCGGCAGGCCUAACACAUGCAAGUCGAGCGGAGCGGCGGACGGGUGAGUAAUGCCGAGGAAUCUGCCUGGUAGUGGGGGAUAACGUCCGGAAACGGGCGCUAAUACCGCAUACUAUCAGAUGAGCCUAGGUCGGAGUAGUUAGGUGGUGGGGUAAAGGCCUACCAAGGCGACGAUCCGUAACUGGUGUUAGAGGUUGAUCAGUCACACUGGAACGGAGACACGGUCCGUACUCCUACGGGAGGCAGCAGUGGGGAAUGUUGGACAAUGGACGAAAGCCGGAUCCAGCCAGGCCGGGUGUGUGAAGAAGGUCUUCGGAUUGUAAAGCACUUUAAGUUGGGAGGCGUUUCCAACAGAAUAAGCUCCGGCUAACUUCGUGCCAGCAGCCGCGUUAAUAC